This 253-nucleotide ribosomal RNA is filed under the name uncultured bacterium. RNAcentral describes it as "partial 16S ribosomal RNA". It matches the Rfam family "Bacterial small subunit ribosomal RNA", at positions 524 to 776 of the family's 1533-position model. The record is from RNAcentral.
UACGUAGGGGGCAAGCGUUGUCCGGAAUCAUUGGCCGUAAAGAGCGUGUAGGCGGCCCGGUAAGUCCGCUGUGAAAGUCCAGGGCUCAACCCUGGGAUGCCGGUGGAUACUGUCGGGCUCGAGUCCGGAAGAGGAGUGUGGAAUUCCUGGUGUAGCGGUGAAAUGCGCAGAUAUCGGGAAGAACACCUAUGGCGAAGGCAGCUCUCUGGGACGGUACUGACGCUGAGACGCGAAAGCGUGGGGAGCAAACAGG